RNAcentral lists this ribosomal RNA (465 nucleotides) under uncultured Klebsiella sp. RNAcentral describes it as "bacterial SSU rRNA". It matches the Rfam family "Bacterial small subunit ribosomal RNA", at positions 338 to 795 of the family's 1533-position model. The record is from RNAcentral. Lineage: Bacteria; Pseudomonadati; Pseudomonadota; Gammaproteobacteria; Enterobacterales; Enterobacteriaceae.
CCUACGGGGGGCUGCAGUGGGGAAUAUUGCACAAUGGGCGCAAGCCUGAUGCAGCCAUGCCGCGUGUGUGAAGAAGGCCUUCGGGUUGUAAAGCACUUUCAGCGGGGAGGAAGGCGGUGAGGUUAAUAACCUCAUCGAUUGACGUUACCCGCAGAAGAAGCACCGGCUAACUCCGUGCCAGCAGCCGCGGUAAUACGGAGGGUGCAAGCGUUAAUCGGAAUUACUGGGCGUAAAGCGCACGCAGGCGGUCUGUCAAGUCGGAUGUGAAAUCCCCGGGCUCAACCUGGGAACUGCAUUCGAAACUGGCAGGCUAGAGUCUUGUAGAGGGGGGUAGAAUCCCAGGUGUAGCGGUGAAAUGCGUAGAGAUCUGGAGGAAUACCGGUGGCGAAGGCGGCCCCCUGGACAAAGACUGACGCUCAGGUGCGAAAGCGUGGGGAGCAAACAGGAUUAGAUACCCUUGUGGUC